GGAGGCGUAGCUCAGUUGGAAGAGCAACUGACUCUUAAUCAGUGGGUCGUGGGUUCGAGCCCCUCCGCCUCUACCA
This 76-nucleotide transfer RNA is filed under the name Verrucomicrobia bacterium ADurb.Bin018. RNAcentral's name for it is "tRNA-Lys". It matches the Rfam family "tRNA". Rfam says of the family: Transfer RNA (tRNA) molecules are approximately 80 nucleotides in length. Their secondary structure includes four short double-helical elements and three loops (D, anti-codon, and T loops). The record is from RNAcentral. Lineage: Bacteria; Pseudomonadati; Verrucomicrobiota. RNAcentral also lists the same sequence under 4 other names.